GCGCUACAUUAAAACAAAAAGGAAAUGUGAAUCUGUUAUUUCCAACUCGUCCUCUGAACACCACAGGAUGGCGCUAACACACACGCUGCAAGAAGUAAGUUAUACUGCCCCUCUGGACUGAUUUUGUUUCACAGAGAAUAACAUUAUCUCACAUCCCGUUCCCUUACAUCUCCUUCACUGGACAGGUCGCC
Sander lucioperca (pikeperch) is the source of this 191-nucleotide long non-coding RNA. RefSeq lists it as uncharacterized. The record is from RefSeq and is a predicted model, not a curated record. NCBI's taxonomy places the organism in Eukaryota, Metazoa, Chordata, Actinopteri, Perciformes, Percidae. The transcript is spliced from 4 exons.